UACGUAGGGGGCAAGCGUUGUCCGGAUUCAUUGGGCGUAAAGAGCUCGUAGGCGGUGUGUCGCGUCGGCCGUGAAAACCUGCAGCUUAACUGUGGGCUUGCGGUCGAUACGGGCAUCACUGGAGUUCGGCAGGGGAGACUGGAAUUCCUGGUGUAGCGGUGAAAUGCGCAGAUAUCAGGAGGAACACCGGUGGCGAAGGCGGGUCUCUGGGCCGAUACUGACGCUGAGGAGCGAAAGCGUGGGGAGCGAACAGGA
This 255-nucleotide ribosomal RNA is filed under the name uncultured bacterium. RNAcentral describes it as "partial 16S ribosomal RNA". It matches the Rfam family "Bacterial small subunit ribosomal RNA", at positions 524 to 777 of the family's 1533-position model. The record is from RNAcentral.